This 486-nucleotide ribosomal RNA is filed under the name uncultured bacterium. Its description in RNAcentral is "partial 16S ribosomal RNA". It matches the Rfam family "Bacterial small subunit ribosomal RNA", at positions 30 to 507 of the family's 1533-position model. The record is from RNAcentral.
AUUGAACGCUGGCGGCAUGCCUUACACAUGCAAGUCGAACGGCAGCACGGGUGCUUGCACCUGGUGGCGAGUGGCGAACGGGUGAGUAAUACAUCGGAACAUGUCCUGUAGUGGGGGAUAGCCCGGCGAAAGCCGGAUUAAUACCGCAUACGAUCUACGGAUGAAAGCGGGGGACCUUCGGGCCUCCCGCUAUAGGGUUGGCCGAUGGCUGAUUAGCUAGUUGGUGGGGUAAAGGCCUACCAAGGCGACGAUCAGUAGCUGGUCUGAGAGGACGACCAGCCACACUGGGACUGAGACACGGCCCAGACUCCUACGGGAGGCAGCAGUGGGGAAUUUUGGACAAUGGGCGAAAGCCUGAUCCAGCAAUGCCGCGUGUGUGAAGAAGGCCUUCGGGUUGUAAAGCACUUUUGUCAGGAAAGAAAUCCUUGGCACUAAUACGGUCGGGGGAUGACGGUACCGGAAGAAUAAGCACCGGCUAACUACGUG